Molecule: ribosomal RNA, 319 nt
Filed under: uncultured eukaryote
Lineage: Eukaryota
Description: partial 18S ribosomal RNA
Rfam family: Eukaryotic small subunit ribosomal RNA
Source: RNAcentral
CCCUUUGAUACUCUGGGCGGCACGCGCGCUACAAUGGAUAACUUAACGUGUUACAUGUCCGAAAGGAUGUAUGCAAAUCACAAAUGUUAUGUCUCGAGUGGGAUAGUUUACUGCAAUUAUAGACUUGAACUAGGAAUCCCUUGUAGGUACACUGAAGCAUAGUGUACCGAAUACGUCCCUGCCCUUUGUACACACCGCCCGUCGCUCCUACCGAUUGAAUGUUCCGGUGAGCUCUUCGGACUGCGCGGUCUGCAGUUUCUGCGUUCCGUGCGGAAAGUUGCGCAAACCUUAACAUUUAGAGGAAGGAGAAGUCGUAACA